CGCCGCCGCCGCCGUCGCCUCCCGCCUCCCGCCUCCCAUCCUCACCGCCGCAGCCGUCACCUCCCACCCCCCAUCCCCACCCGCGCGGCCGCUUCUCGCCCCGUCCACGGACACGUUCUCUGCCGCCGUCCUCGUCUUACCGAGCUCCUACGCCAGCAGAUCGACACCGCCGGACCCGUCCCCCCGUCUCGCCGCCGUCCAGCUCGUCCUCGUCCUCCGGCUCGCCACCAACUAGCUUCCGGACAAGCUCAAGCUCAGUAUUGCCCCCCUACAGAUAGCUUAGGGCCGGCCCCGGUCUCGCCCGUCAGCAAGGGGCUCGCCGCGAUGGCGGACCUGAUUCCGGGCGAGGGAGAGCUGGCUUUCGGCGGCAACCAGGACGACGACGACGCGGAGGACGCCUCGCCGGGCAGCAAGGAGCUGGCCGCCAUGGUGGAGGCGGCGGCGGCGGCGAGCGUGGAGCUGGACGCCGCCGCCGACCGGGCGCCGCCGUACGGGGACGACCGGACGCCGAGGGACGGGAUGGUGUUCAAGUCGUACGAGGAGGUGCUCAACUUCUACAAGCGCUACGCCCUGCGCACCGGCUUCGGCGUCUGCGUCAAGAAGUCCUCCUUCACCAAGGCCGGCCUCUGCCGCCGCCUCCUGCUCGUCUGCAACAGGUGGGGGAACGGCAAGGAGGACGCCUGCUACCAGGCCAGGCCCACGGCCAAGACCAACUGCCAGGCCACCGUUGUCGCCAGGCUCUGGGGGGACGGCAUGCUGCACCUCACCGACGUCAGCCUCGACCACAACCACCCGCUCAACCCCUCGGCAGCGCGCUUCCUGCGGUGCUACAAGACGCUUCCCAGCGGGAUGAGCAAGGACCUGGUGGUGAGGGCUGCCAGAGGUGAAUGCGCCACCUCCGGUGGCGACGUCGAGGCCCCCCCGAUGUUUGAUGACUGGGGGCGACUCAAGAUCAGGGAGGGUGAUGUUCAGGCUAUCAAUGGCUUCUUUGCGGAGAUGCAGGCCAAGCAGCCAAACUUCUUCUAUGUCAUGGAUUUCUAUGUGGAGGGUCACCUGAGGAGUGUUCUUUGGGCUGAUUCAAGAUCCAGGGAAGCAUACCAGUAUUUUAGCGACGCUAUUUGGGUCGAUACCACCUGCUUGAGGAGUAAGUUCAAUGUGCCCCUGGUUUUGUUUCUCGGGGUGAACCAUCAUGGCCAGCUUGUUUUGUUAGGGUGUGGCUUGCUUUCGGAUGAGAGUACAGAGAGCUUCCUGUGGCUGUUCAAAGCAUGGCUAACUUGUAUGAAGGGAAGGCUUCCAGGCGCCAUGAUUACGGAUGAGUCUGUGGCGAUAAAAGCUGCGGUUCGAGAAGUGUUUCCCAAAACGCGCCAUAGGAUAAGUGAUUGGCAUAUAGUGAGAAGUAUUGCUGAGAAGUUAGGAGAGUUGCCAGAAUAUGAAUCAAUAAAAGUCCAAAUGGAGGCAGUAAUAUAUGGUUCCUUGAAGGAUGAUCAGUUUGAGACAAGGUGGAAGAACUUGAUCAAUAGGUUUAGCCUUCAGGAUAAUGAAUGGAUCAUCUUUCUGUAUGAAAAUCGACACUUGUGGGUCCCUUCCUUUCUGAAAGACGCCUUCUGGGCUGGACUGUCUGUUAACCACCGGGAAAGCCCAGGUGCAUUCUUUGAUGGUUCAGUGAGCCAUGAAACCACAUUGGUGUCGUUCCUUAGCAAUUACAUGAUCCUUGUACAGUACAAGCACAAAAUGGAGCAACAGGAUGAUUUUGAGUCAUUAACCAGCGGCAGGGUCCUUGUAUCAAAGUUCCCUAUGGAAGAGCAGAUAUCCAAAUUGUACACCCUGAACAUGUUUGUGAAAUUCCAGGAUGAGCUAAAAUCAACGCUGGACUGCCAAGUUCAACAAGUAUCGCCAUCUUCUUUUGUAGUUAUUGACUUAGCUGAACAAGGCACAGGAUUAGUGACUAGAAAGUAUGAGGUUGUUCACUGUAUGGAGACCAACAGGAUGGAAUGUAACUGUGGCCUAUUUCAGUUUAGUGGAAUUGUUUGUCGGCAUGCGUUAUCGGUGCUUAAAUGGCAGCAAGUGUAUGAUAUCCCCCCUUGCUAUGUACUUAACAGGUGGAGGAGUGAUUUUAAGCAGCUGCACGCUCUGGAUAAUCCACUCAAGGAUCCUUUAGUAUCGAGUAAUCAUGUUGAGCGUUAUGACCAUAUUUCCUUGCAGUGCCUCCGUCUUGUUGAGAUUGGAAUGGUUUCAGAUGACAAGUAUCAGCAUGCAUUAAAACUAAUCAGCGACAUGAAAAGGACCCUUCUUGAUGAUAAUUUGUGCCGCGAGUUGGAGCAGAAAAUGUCACCUCCUGAACGCGCAAUUGUUGUGAAUGGUGAUAGCCAUGCACAGCCUGGUUCAUCUGAGGGGGGUCCAGCCAAAAAACGCCGCGGCCGUCCUCCCAAAAAGAGUAAAGAGAUAAGCGCGGAGUCUGUGUCAAAUCAAUGUGGAAACAAGGAGUCUUUACUGGUAUCUUCAGAUGUAAGUCAGAAGGGUGCUUUACAUUCUUCUUCGACUGCCUCCAACCUUGGUACUCAUGUCAGAGCACAUGGCGUUGAUGAUCUUAUGGAAGAAGUUAACGCUAAUGAGGUAUCAUUUGAGAGCCGUUAUGGGGUGCAAUCUAGCCAUCCAAAUCAUUAUGGUGACCAGCUGCAUCCAAGCCACACAUUGCAGUUUGGCCAACACAUGCCAUCCGCAGAGCAAUCUAGGGGAGUCGAGUGGGUGUAUCCGACUAUAUAUCAGGAUGAUCAAGUGCCUUAUGACAGGCGGACAUCUUGAAUCGUAGAACAGGAGAAUGAUUUCAGGGGACUCAAAGUACUUGUAGUUAACAUUAGGAAACCUGACAUUUGAAGGUUGAUACGGUCCAAACUGAAAGAUGAGAAUGCUAUGCAUUUAUUGCAGUAAUACUACUAACCCCAACUGUUAAGGUUCCUGAUGAGAUGUACAGAGGGGUCCGGGAAGCUGCCAGCUGGCGUCGGCCCCCCACCCCAGGAUGUGUUAAACAUCGGAGGCGAGGCGGCGUGAUGAGAGCGUCGGCGCGUGUCGGCACAAGUCUGGGCAUGUGGUUUGAUUCUUUGGCCUGCAUAGAGACCGGCAGGAAGGAAUGUGGCAAUGUGCCUUGGCUGGCCUUGAUGGUGCUAGCAACUGCUAAGAUGUAGUGUACUGCGCCUGAUCCUGACAAGAACUCAAAUAUAGCUCUCUUCAAAUCCUGCUCUCUUUUUGACUGCUGGCUCUGACCUAUGUGAAUACAUGGUUCGGCUUUUUUUCUUUCUGAAAAAACACCGUCGUUUUUUUCUCGCUUCAAUGUGACACGGUGCUGCUGCGUGUCUGUAUAUGUUUUGAAGGUUAUAUAAAAGAAAAACGAGACCAA
Triticum dicoccoides is the source of this 3394-nucleotide RNA transcript. It is a transcript of the gene named protein FAR1-RELATED SEQUENCE 6-like, with no coding region annotated. The transcript has 7 exons. NCBI's taxonomy places the organism in Eukaryota, Viridiplantae, Streptophyta, Magnoliopsida, Poales, Poaceae. The record is from RefSeq and is a predicted model, not a curated record.